GAUGAACGCUGGCGGCGUGCUUAACACAUGCAAGUCGAACGGGAAACCUUUUAAUGAAGCUUCGGCAGAUUUAGCUGGUUUCUAGUGGCGGACGGGUGAGUAACGCGUGGGUAACCUGCCUUAUACAGGGGGAUAACAGUCAGAAAUGACUGCUAAUACCGCAUAAGCGCACAGGACCGCAUGGUCCGGUGUGAAAAACUCCGGUGGUAUAAGAUGGACCCGCGUUGGAUUAGCUUGUUGGUGGGGUAACGGCUCACCAAGGCGACGAUCCAUAGCCGGCCUGAGAGGGGGAACGGCCACAUUGGGACUGAGACACGGCCCAGACUCCUACGGGAGGCAGCAGUGGGGAAUAUUGCACAAUGGGGGAAACCCUGAUGCAGCGACGCCGCGUGAAGGAAGAAGUAUCUCGGUAUGUAAACUUCUAUCAGCAGGGAAGAUAGUGACGGUACCUGACUAAGAAGCCCCGGCUAACUACGUG
Molecule: ribosomal RNA, 478 nt
Filed under: uncultured bacterium
Lineage: Bacteria
Description: partial 16S ribosomal RNA
Rfam family: Bacterial small subunit ribosomal RNA
Source: RNAcentral